GCCAUUACGGUUUUCCGCACUGAAGAAGGAGACAUGCCUUGCGAAUUUCAACGAGGAGAGAAUUCGAAAUUGGGGUCGCUGGAGGAAUUUGCUAACCCAAAGCAACCAAAACUGGUGCGAGAAGGAAUUGGAAAAUAGAAGAAAUCGUUGAAGCGGAAAUCGGGGUCGUCGGAUGACAAGAAACAAAGACAAAAUCAACUAGGAGAGCAAAAAGAACUGGAGAAAUCAUUCAACGAUUCUGAUGACAAUAUUGAUUGGCGUAAUUGCUAUGCUGAACAGAUGAACAAGAGUGAGGGAUUUGACGUUGAGUAUGUUCCCCAGAAUGUGUGUAUCAUUGGUUUAAUUCAUCCACAUAAAAACUUCGACAAAAAUCCCUAGUUCCUUGUGUAGGUCGAAAAGGCGUCAAGGAUGGCUACUGAACACUACAACGCUAUCAACAAAACGGAUUACUGGUUUGUGAGGGUCGUCAAGGUAUGCUCAUAGCUUGUUGCUCGUUUAAAUCACUAUAUUACCUUCGAGGUCGAGGCCUUUGGUGGAACCCAGUCUCUUGUGCUCUUCCAAGCUUUGGUGUACGUUGGAAUUGAUGAGAAUCCGAUCGAAGUCAACUUUUGCAGGGUUAAACCAGAAUCCUAAUUGCUGAAAGGUAUGGUUUAGUUGCGUGUCUUAUUCACUGUUCUUGAUUUUGUUGAUGAUUACUCUAUGCAUUAUACAGUUCAAUAGCUUUCGUUAUGGUGAAAAGGGGAUGCAGAAAACAGUCCAAUAGUUUUUGUUAUGCUGAGAAGGAGAAAUAAUUUAGCCCUUCUGGAAUUGUUUCCAUGACAUCGCCAUAGAUUAGAUGGUUUUCUAUCUUCCAGUAAUAAUGGGUUAGUAUGUUUAUGUGGUUUUACGUUUG
RNA transcript from Rhododendron vialii, 892 nucleotides. RefSeq lists it as uncharacterized. The transcript has 3 exons. Lineage: Eukaryota; Viridiplantae; Streptophyta; Magnoliopsida; Ericales; Ericaceae. The record is from RefSeq and is a predicted model, not a curated record.